RNAcentral lists this transfer-messenger RNA (349 nucleotides) under Roseivivax lentus. RNAcentral describes it as "Alphaproteobacteria transfer-messenger RNA". It matches the Rfam family "Alphaproteobacteria transfer-messenger RNA". Rfam says of the family: Bacterial tmRNA, also known as 10Sa RNA or SsrA, is named for its dual tRNA and mRNA-like properties. The record is from RNAcentral. Lineage: Bacteria; Pseudomonadati; Pseudomonadota; Alphaproteobacteria; Rhodobacterales; Roseobacteraceae.
CCGCUUGAAACGCGGCCGCGCCAUGUCCAUAUUGGAGGUGUCUCGCAAGGGACUAUGGACAUAAACGCGCUCGUAAUAAGCGGAUCGGACCCGGGGGCGGUACCCGGCGACUCCACCAUAAAUCCUUGUUGGGGGUUCACGGGGUCGAAAGAGGAUCGACGAACGUCUAAAGGGGUUUGCUUUGUCCCGGUGAGGUACCACCGUUAUCGGUCCGUAAAGCAUAGUUGCCAACAACAAUCAUGCUCCGGUUGCAGUUGCCGCGUAAGCGGUAACAAGACCGAAACUUAAGCCCUGACCUCUAGCCAGGUCAGGCGGGGUCCGCAGGCACCUGGCAACAGAAGCCUGCAUU